UUUUAAAAAUCUAUAACAAACAGAUGCGAAACAAUUAAAAGUUAUUAUUUUUAUAAAAAAGUGAUUUUUUUCUAAAAUAAGCUAUAACAAACGGGCUCUAAGAGUAGCUUAUAAAAUAAUAGAUUUUUUUUAGAGGAGAGAGAAAAGAAAUGUUAAAAGAAGAAAGUUGUUUGUAAUAAAAAAAUCACUUUUAUAAGUUGUAUCCAAACAAACUAAAGAUUAUUUUAUUUAAAAAGAGUGAUUUUUCUAAAAAUCUCUAAAAACUAAUAUCUAAAUUAUUUUAAAUCAAAAUUACUAUUUUUUUAAUCAGUAACAAACGCACCCUGGUUUUUAUUAUAAUAAACAAACACAAAGUAAAUUCAACUUUUCUAAAAAUCUCUAAAAACUAAUCUCUAAAUUAUUUUACAUCAAAAUCACUAUUUUUUUAAUUUGUAAUUAACGCACCCUAAAUAUGAGAAAAAAUCUUGUCAAAACAAAAAAAAAGAGAAAAAAUAAUAGUAACAGUAACAACAGUACAUAUGACAUUCAAAUUAAAUCACAUGCUUUAAAAAAUCAAGAUAAGUUUUCAACUUGAUGUUAAAUUUCAUCUUAAUUAAAUUAAUAAAAAAUGUUUUAAAUGUUAAAAAAUAUGGCAUCAUAGAAAAGUAAAGAGAAAAGUUAGAAAUAUUACCGUACAUCAUUUUAUUUGUGUUUGACAAACAUAGAAUACAAAAGUUAAUAAUAUGUGAGUAAUUAUAUGUUUUUUUGUUGUUCUUCUUUUCGGAUCAUAAGAAUGCGUGCCUUAAAAACAUAUGAUAAACCAUUUAGUAUAGAAAUAUUGCUAUUUGUUUUUGACAAAAAUAGAAAUAUUGCUCUUAAGAGUUGGACAUUUAAUUUUUUAAAAGUCAAAUAGUUGUAUUUUAUAAUGUAAUAAUUCCACUUUUGGAUUUCUUAACAUAUAUCUUCAAGGCACGCGUUAAUAGAUCCAUAAAAUUAUAGACGAAACAAGAUAACUUUUUAACUAACCUAUUUCGCAAUAACAAAUAUUAGAAAGACACUUCCCAACUUUUGGAGGGUCACAGAACUUAUCUGGACAGUCAUAAUCAGUCUUGCAGCUACUAAU
RNAcentral lists this long non-coding RNA (1102 nucleotides) under Trifolium pratense (red clover). RNAcentral describes it as "long non-coding RNA (TPRA_LNC007348)". The record is from RNAcentral. Lineage: Eukaryota; Viridiplantae; Streptophyta; Magnoliopsida; Fabales; Fabaceae.